CUUUCAUUCGCUGCCAGGGAGCAAUGCAAGUGUGAGAACACAAAAAGAAAAGUUUCCUUUUACAAUAAAAUGACUCGGAAUCUCAGCGGUUCGGGUUCUAUCAUCGACAUGGUGAAAUAUCACAUGCCGUUUGGACAUCAGUAUGAGCCAGAUGGAGGAUGACAGCUGCUCGUAAACCUCGUCUCAGAUGUCGGUGAUCUUCUGUCGCCACAGUCUGCUUUUCAGCAGUAUAAUGACAUUUACAAAUGGCACUUGGAUGAGCGAUCCGGCAGGACUGCUGUCAAGUCACAUGUUUAAGCUUGAAGAUGACCCCUACCAGGGAGAGGGUAGUUGACCUGUUGAUUGACAGCACUGCACUAUUUCUGUGAAACUGAAAAUUGUAGUGCACAAGAUGCUGUAUCCGGUGAAGGAAAAUCAACAAUUGAAGCACCUGCUCUUAGUUUUUGGCAUCAAAGCUUGCAUCAGCCAGCUCACACAUACCUGAUGCGAGCAUUGCAAUGUUGCUUGUUGCACGUGUAAUGUUUCAAAGUGUCAAAUAACACUAUUGUGUUUUUGGGAGGAUUUAAGUAUAAAACCAUUAUGCAAAAAGUGAGCUCUAAUGAUUAGUGAUGUGUAAGCUGGAGCCCUGUGAGGAAGCCAGCAGGAGAUCAGGUAAAGAAGUUGCUCAGCUGUAAGAUUAUGCUUGCAAAAUGUGCGCUGUUCACAGAGCGAAAGCCCUUCAGA
This is a long non-coding RNA of Salarias fasciatus (jewelled blenny), 723 nucleotides long. RefSeq lists it as uncharacterized. NCBI's taxonomy places the organism in Eukaryota, Metazoa, Chordata, Actinopteri, Blenniiformes, Blenniidae. The transcript is spliced from 4 exons. The record is from RefSeq and is a predicted model, not a curated record.